AUUGAACGCUGGCGGCAGGCCUAACCCAUGCAAGUCGAACGAGUGGCGGACGGGUGAGUAAUGUCUGGGAAACUGCCCGAUGGAGGGGGAUAACUACUGGAAACGGUAGCUAAUACCGCAUACCAUCGGAUGUGCCCAGAUGGGAUUAGCUUGUAGGUGCGGUAACGGCUCACCUAGGCGGCGAUCCCUAGCUGGUCUGAGAGGAUGACCAGCCACAGUGGAACGGUGACACGGUCCAGACUCCUACGGGAGGCAGCAGUGGGGAAUAUUGCACAAUGGGCGCAAGCCCGAUGCAGCCAUGCCGCGUGUAGGAAGAAGGCCUUCGGGUUGUAAAGUACUUUCAGCUGGGAGGCGUUACCCGCAGAAGAAGCACCGGCUAACUCGGUGCCAGCAGCCGCGGUAAUUC
RNAcentral lists this ribosomal RNA (406 nucleotides) under uncultured bacterium. RNAcentral's name for it is "partial 16S ribosomal RNA". It matches the Rfam family "Bacterial small subunit ribosomal RNA", at positions 30 to 526 of the family's 1533-position model. The record is from RNAcentral.